Molecule: ribosomal RNA, 305 nt
Filed under: uncultured bacterium
Lineage: Bacteria
Description: bacterial SSU rRNA
Rfam family: Bacterial small subunit ribosomal RNA
Source: RNAcentral
UGCCUACGGGACGCAGCAGUGGGGAAUAUUGCACAAUGGGGGAAACCCUGAUGCAGCAACGCCGCGUGAGUGAAGAAGUAUUUCGGUAUGUAAAGCUCUAUCAGCAGGGAAGAAGAAAGACGGUACCUGACUAAGAAGCCCCGGCUAACUACGUGCCAGCAGCCGCGGUAAUACGUAGGGGGCAAGCGUUAUCCGGAUUUACUGGGUGUAAGGGGAGCGUAGGCGGCUGUGUAAGCCAGAAGUGAAAGCCCGAGGCUCAACCACGGGACUGCUUUUGGAACUACAUGGCUCGAUUGCAGGAGAGG